This 216-nucleotide unclassified non-coding RNA is filed under the name Hevea brasiliensis (rubber tree). The record is from RNAcentral. Lineage: Eukaryota; Viridiplantae; Streptophyta; Magnoliopsida; Malpighiales; Euphorbiaceae.
AGCUUGAGAGUUCAAUGGAGAAUCAUUGUUGGGCUCUCCGAGGAGGCUCUGAAUGGAAAGAAGCACAGUCCGAACAUCAUAAGCAGACGACCACUUAUCCUGGAGAAUGUCCAAGCAGAUAUUCCCAAAGAGAUCGACAUUCGGGUGGAAGCACGGGGUGUCAAACUUCACCUUGGGAGGCUUGAAGGGGUAGUCAGAUGUGAAGUUGAAGGAAAG